Molecule: long non-coding RNA, 1072 nt
Filed under: Vombatus ursinus (common wombat)
Lineage: Eukaryota; Metazoa; Chordata; Mammalia; Diprotodontia; Vombatidae
Description: lncRNA (ENSVURG00010012123.1)
Source: RNAcentral
CCUUAAUAUACCAUCCCAGCACCCCCACCUUCUCUUCUCUCUCUCUUUUUUUUUUUAAAGUUACCUACCUCUUGAACGCCUUCACUCGGUUUCUUUCCUCCCCACCCCCCUCGUCUUGGUUCUCAUUGGUCAAAGGAUUCCUUUGUUAGCAAGCAAGGGCCACCAUCAUUGGUCAGGUCGGGCUGUCCAUCGGAGAAGGGGCGAGGCUCUACUUACCCCUCGGCCCCUACCAACUCCCCCCCUCCUUCUAACUCCCUCCCUCCUCUUCUAACCGUGACCCCUCCCCCACCCCCACCCUCUCUCGUUCGAUCCCAGGAACGCGCGAGACGCUAGGCUACCAUUUGCAACUGCCCGGGAGUGCAAAGGGGAGCGGCGGAGGGUGCCAGCGGGGAGGACUCUUUCCCGAGGAACCAUGCAGUGAUUUCCCUCGGAUAACCUGGACUCGCAGACGAGUCGGAGUGAGGAGCUGUAGCUUCAGAGGAUGCGUCCAUGGGCCAGCUAAAACGAGAAGGCGGCCGCGGAGGCUGUGGCUCUUUGUUCCCAUCCCCCCUCCUCGCUUCUUCUGGAAUUGGGAUGCCCCCAAAGUGAGCGGGGACCGGUUUGAGACGCCCAGCCCUUGGAUUGCCAAAGCCUGCAGCCGAUCUGAGGAUAUUAUUGCACAACCCAACUGAGAGGAAACCGUGCCGGGCUCUGUCGGGCCCCUCCCCACCUCCGUCUCCCUCUCCUUCCCUCUCGAGUCCCCAUCCCCUGACCGCGGGGCUCCUUGGAUGAUUUUCCUAGGAAAGAGAACCUGUCAGGGCGAGGGUCAGGUUGCUGGGGCAUUCUCCACCUCUCUUUCCUUGAAGUAAAGAGGACAGCUCUAGAGAUUGGCUGGACACCCGAAAAAUGUCCGCGAAGGAGAACCCCUGCCGGAAAUUUCAGGCCAACAUCUUCAACAAAAGCAAGUGUCAGAAUUGCUUCAAGCCCCGGGAAUCUCAUUUGCUCAAUGAUGAAGAUUUAAACCAGGUGAGUCUUUAGAUUUUUGCUGAAUUUUGUACCAGAGGUGAGGAGGUCAAGGCCCUCCUCCCUUCCC